CCCUUCCGCCCCGGGAGGAAGAGCCGCCGUGCCCCGGGCGGGCGGAGGCCGGGGCAGGGCUUGUCCGAGCCUGCCCGAGCUCUCCCGGCUCCGGCCUCGGUGCUCGGCGGGGCCGCUGGUGCUGUUGCUCGGGGAAGCAUUCGCGGGGAUCCUGCUCCGACGGCGAAACCGUCUAUGUUUAGACAGGGAAGUCCUCGCCCGCUGGCACCACGGCCGGGGCUGAAGAGCAACGGCAGGGAAGGGGAAGACUGGGAGCCUGCGCGACUGCGACGCUGGGUGUGCGAUUGCCCCAAACACCCGCGAUGGACACACGGGGCGUAUGCCCGGUAGAAAUAGAGCUCUCGGUCGGGACGAGUUUUGGGUUAUCUUUUUCCCCCCACUGCUCGCUUUUGUGAAAUGUAUGGGCGGAUGAUUUCCCCUCUUAGUUGUGCUUCGUGACAGUGGCUGCCUUCCUGCGCUGGGGAGCGGUGUUAACGGCUGGGAACAGCUCCGAUGGGUUAAAAUCCAGUCUCUGAAUGCGGUUCCUGUCCUGGAGAGUCCCCUCAUCCCGGGCUUGCCUCUCCUCCGCAGCUCCGCGCUUCGCGGCGAGGUCUCAGUCCCGCUUCGCUGUUCUUGCGACAGGACACGGCGCUUGCUCAUCCUCCGUGUGGACUGCGGCUCCUCUCCUCCCACUCUGCUAUGGGGAAAAAAAAUAAAAAUAAUAAAAUAAAGGAGGAACAAAAAAUAAAAUAACGAAAAUCGCCCAUUUGGAAGACGGACAUUUCUCCGUGUCGCUCAAAAGACUGACAUCUUUUGCGCACAAAACCCGUGGCCAGAGGGAACUCUGUUAAUAGCUCUUUAAGUGAUGGUGUAAAAACUGACUGGUGGUGGAAAGUAGUAACUAGUGGUAACAAAGAAUAGAUCCAAACUACGA
Pezoporus occidentalis (night parrot) is the source of this 913-nucleotide long non-coding RNA. RefSeq lists it as uncharacterized. The transcript has 2 exons. The record is from RefSeq and is a predicted model, not a curated record. Lineage: Eukaryota; Metazoa; Chordata; Aves; Psittaciformes; Psittacidae.